AGAAGAAGGCAAUCUAGCUACAACAUCUGACACCCCACUAAUCACUAGGGUGACUCAGCUCCUCUGGCUAACUAGAAAGAGUUACCCUUUCUCCCUCAUCAUUCUCUGCAGUGCCUCCCAAAGGUACAAGACUGUUCUUCCAUCAAGAGUAUAUGAGCAGUUAUGUUCCCUUGUUAGAACCUCCACACAAGCUCUCUCAACAAGUAAUUGGUUGUGUGUACUCGAUCAGUCUGAAUCUAUGUCAGCUGUGUGGCAGAUUCU
This is an unclassified non-coding RNA of Cricetulus griseus (Chinese hamster), 261 nucleotides long. Its record names the gene 7SK. It matches the Rfam family "7SK RNA". From Rfam's summary of the family: 7SK was discovered as an abundant small nuclear RNA in the mid-70s but a possible function has only recently been suggested. The record is from Ensembl. Lineage: Eukaryota; Metazoa; Chordata; Mammalia; Rodentia; Cricetidae.